Molecule: transfer RNA, 77 nt
Filed under: Candidatus Colivivens caballi
Lineage: Bacteria; Pseudomonadati; Bacteroidota; Bacteroidia; Bacteroidales; Bacteroidaceae
Description: tRNA-His
Rfam family: tRNA
About the family: Transfer RNA (tRNA) molecules are approximately 80 nucleotides in length. Their secondary structure includes four short double-helical elements and three loops (D, anti-codon, and T loops).
Source: RNAcentral
GUGAGCGUAGUUCAGUUGGUUAGAGCGUCAGAUUGUGGUUCUGAAUGUCGUGGGUUCGAGUCCCACCCCUCACCCCA